AAACUCAAAGGAAUUGACGGGGGCCCGCACAAGCGGCGGAGCAUGCGGAUUAAUUCGAUGCAACGCGAAGAACCUUACCUGGGUUUGACAUGCACCAGACGACAGCAGAGAUGUUGUUUCCUUCGGGCUGGUGUGCAGGUGGUGCAUGGCUGUCGUCAGCUCGUGUCGUGAGAUGUUGGGUUAAGUCCCGCAACGAGCGCAACCCUCGUCCUAUGUUGCCAGCACGUUAUGGUGGGAACUCAUGGGAGACUGCCGGGGUCAACUCGGAGGAAGGUGGGGAUGACGUCAAGUCAUCAUGCCCCUUAUGUCCAGGGCUUCACGCAUGCUACAAUGGCUGGUACAAAGUGUUGCGAUCCUGUGAGGGUGAGCGAAUCACGUAAAGCCAGUCUCAGUUCGGAUUGGGUCUGCAACUCGACCCCAUGAAGUCGGAGUCGCUAGUAAUCGCAGAUCAGCAUUGCUGCGGU
Molecule: ribosomal RNA, 464 nt
Filed under: uncultured bacterium
Lineage: Bacteria
Description: bacterial SSU rRNA
Rfam family: Bacterial small subunit ribosomal RNA
Source: RNAcentral